CCUACGGGAGGCAGCAGUGAGGAAUAUUGGUCAAUGGACGAGAGUCUGAACCAGCCAAGUAGCGUGAAGGAUGACUGCCCUAUGGGUUGUAAACUUCUUUUAUAUGGGAAUAAAAUGUUCCACGUGUGGGAUUUUGUAUGUACCAUAUGAAUAAGGAUCGGCUAACUCCGUGCCAGCAGCCGCGGUACUACGGAGGAUCCGAGCGUUAUCCGGCUUUAUUGGGUUUAAAGGGAGCGUAGGUGGAUUGUUAAGUCAGUUGUGAAAGUUUGCGGCUCAACCGUAAAAUUGCAGUUGAAACUGGCAGUCGUGAGUACAGUAGAGGUGUGCGGAAUUCGUGGUGUAGCGGUGAAAUGCUUAGAUAUCACGAAGAACUCCGAGUGCGAAGGCAGCUCACUGGACUGCAACUGACACUGAGGCUCGAAAGUGUGGGUAUCAAACAGGAUUAGAUACCCUGGUAGUC
RNAcentral lists this ribosomal RNA (460 nucleotides) under uncultured bacterium. RNAcentral's name for it is "partial 16S ribosomal RNA". It matches the Rfam family "Bacterial small subunit ribosomal RNA", at positions 338 to 795 of the family's 1533-position model. The record is from RNAcentral.